GACGGGGCCCGCACAAGCGGUGGAGCAUGUGGUUUAAUUCGAAGCAACACGAAGAACCUUACCAGGUCUUGACAUCCCUGACAACCCGAGAGAUCGGGCGUUCCCCUUCGGGGGACAGGGUGACAGGUGGUGCAUGGUUGUCGUCAGCUCGUGUCGUGAGAUGUUGGGUUAAGUCCCGCAACGAGCGCAACCCUCGACCUUAGUUGCCAGCAUUCAGUUGGGCACUCUAAGGUGACUGCCGGCUAAAAGCCGGAGGAAGGUGGGGAUGACGUCAAGUCCUCAUGGCCCUUAUAGGUGGGGCUACACACGUCAUACAAUGGCUGGUACAAAGGGUUGCCAACCCGCGAGGGGGAGCCAAUCCUCAAAGUUGGUCUCAGUUCAGAUUGCAGGCUGCAACCCGCCUGCAUGAAGAUGGAGUUGCUAGUAACCGCAGGUCAGCUAUACUGCGGUGAAUACGUUCCCGGGGCUU
RNAcentral lists this ribosomal RNA (469 nucleotides) under uncultured Anoxybacillus sp. RNAcentral describes it as "bacterial SSU rRNA". It matches the Rfam family "Bacterial small subunit ribosomal RNA", at positions 912 to 1382 of the family's 1533-position model. Lineage: Bacteria; Bacillati; Bacillota; Bacilli; Caryophanales; Anoxybacillaceae. The record is from RNAcentral.